AUAUGUCAUGAUGUUAUCUACAUCCUGGUAUCCAUGUUUCCUCGUGCAGAACUUCUGUGCGAUUUUUCAUACAUGCCAUGCUGGUCUAUGAUGUCAGUGUUUUGUAUCAAGCGUCGGACACUAAAUGUGCAUUUGGGCUCGGUUUUAUCCAUGUCGUUAGCGAAGAUUGUAGCGCCAAAAAUCCCAAGUUGCUGGAAUAAGAGCUGUUUAUUUAUUUGCUAUAAAGAGCACACUGUUUGGUGCCACUGGAGUGGAGUCCAUCAUUCAUUCUGAAAUCUGAAUCCUAUGUCUGAUUAUAAAUACAGAGAUCUUGUGGUGUCUCACCAGCCACCGGGUGGUUGCGAGGCUGAAAACGACUCUCUUGAUACCGAGAGAAUCCACCGCCACAGCGUAUCAGCAUAUGCCUUUUCUAUGACUGGUCAUGGGUUCUGCCUGAUUUUCUAGCUGGGGGUUUCUUGAGAUGCCGACAGGUGACCUGACUGGUCCAUGAUCCAUCUUCGGCCUAUCAAGUUGCAGCUCGCUUAAUUUCUGCCUCGUGGGGCUAGAAAUGCUGCCCUCUUGUGUCCAUGAUAUUUCAUAACUGAACCCACUGCCCUCUCUCUUCGUGUGCCUGUCCAUGAUAUUAUGGUGGUGUUCGUCUGCUCUCUGGCCAUUUUCGCCGUGUGAAAACCCAUCGUGUCAAAUCUGGGACGGUGCUUCCUCUGGACCACAGCAACAGCAUGGCGUCCUCAUCCGAAUCGGCCGGUCCAGGAAAGGCAGGCAGGCAGGCAAUCUUCAAGGAGGGAGGUCUCAUCUGCGGCCUGUCCUUCUGUCGUACUGUGGACGUUUGUGCCGGUGCAAUUAACCUCCAUCAAGAGAGACCGUUUGUACUACUACCGGAUAUUUGAAAUGGGGCUCGGCCGCUCGGGCUAUUUGCUCAUUUACAGUAGUACUAGUACUCCCUCCGUAAACUAAUAUAAGAGCGUUUAGAAUACUAAAAUAGUGAUUUAAACGCUCUUAUAUUAGUUUACAGUACUAUUUACAUCUCCCCGCCUUGUUUUUCCAGUUGUCAGGUGGGAUAAUCCUAACCAAUGGAGAUUUUGUAACUUAGGUUAGGUAACUUAACCAGGCGGCUGAUUUUAGUUGGAGGAUCCGCAGCCGAUUGUAAUGUAUUCGCGCCAAAGGAGGAUUCAUCAGAAGAGAAUACUGCAUGACGUUGCUUCGAGUACUUAUUGCACCAUCCUCUCUUCUCACUGGUGGUUGUGCACUACAUCAACGCCUAGCAACUUCCACCACUAGAUGCGCAGUCGGCCGUCAUGGUCAACAAUAGCCUCCGCUUCGCUCUCUGCAGUGCCGCUGCACCGGGAAAAAAGGAGGCCCUGGCACUACUGGGUUUUACCCGACGGCGUUGGUGGUAAGGGCGAAGGGAGAAGCCGGGGAAGGUUGCGAUAGAAGUAUUAUGGAUCCUAUGGCACAUAAAUACAAAGAUCGUGUAGUAUAUCACCAACUAACAGGUUGUUUCGAGCCUGAAAAUGACUUUCUUCACUCCAAGAGAAUCCAUCACCAUCUUCAGCAUGGGUGCAUAAAACCGGUUUUCACCAUUGGUCAUGGGUUUGCUUGGUUUUAAGUAGGGGGUCGCUUGGGAUGCUGAUAAUAUGGUCCAUCUUUGGCCUAUCAAGUUGCAGCUUUGUUUCUUCUUAUGUCCAUUAUACUUCCUCUGUUUUAAUUUAUUCCGCACAUUUGUUUUAUCGUAAAUUAAACUUAUAAAUUUAGGUAAAAAAUAAUAUAAACAUUUACAAUAACAAAUAUGUAUGAUGUGAAAAUAUAUUAUGAAUCUAAUCGUAUUCAUUUGGUAUUGUAGAUGUUAAUGUUUUUUAUAGACUUGAUAUGUUUGACUUAAAACAAAACUAAUACGAAGAGUAAAUUAGAACGAGUGGAGUAUUUCAUAAACAACUCGUUGUUCUCUCCUCUUUUUUUUUCUUGUGCAUGUCCAUUUAGUGGCGUCCACUCUCGCUUUGUAGUACUGGUAGUGCUUUUUGCUAGGUAGUAAAAGUAUCAUAUUUUUUCCUUCUGUUUUUGUUGAGGGCAAAGUGAGUUAUCUACUUAUCUCGGUUCAUAUCAAAGGUUGAAACUGUGUACUCAAGUAAUAGUAUUCCAGAACACAUGCAACAUCAGCACCAAGUCUGUGGAUUUUUGACCUUGAAUUCCUGGCAAAUCUUGAAUGGACGACAACAACAUCACAUCCUCCCCCGAUUUGGUCCACGCCCGAGAAAGAGAGGCGGGAGCAGGUCUUAUCCACGGCGUGUCCUUUUGUCGUAUUGUAGGCGUACAUGCCGGCGAGACCACCACCAAAGGAGACUGUUCGUCCAAUCGGAAAUUUGAAAUGGAGCCUUUACAUCUUGCCAGCGUUGUUUUUCCAAUUGUCAAGUCAAAUGGGAUGAUAGUAACCAAUUGUCAAGUUGGUCUCACAUGUUAACCACCCAACCUUCGAUCAGGGCAGAAGACGACGAGUGUUUUUCUUAUCUGAAAAGGAGGAUGGCCUCCAGCCUUUGAACUGAUUUGAUGCACUCGUGUACAAAUUAAACCAGCUUUAAAAGGAAUGUUUAGUAUAUUGAUUCAUUAGAAAACAUAAGAUGUACCAGGAUUUAUUUUGACUUGUCUUGUACUUCAAUUAAAUCAUGUACAUAUAUAUAUGCCUAGGGUUCGCCCGCCGGUCGUGUUGACCGGCUGCCCUAGAGAGUCUUUUUCCCAAGCCCUUGCUCCGGAUUUCUCUCUCUCCCGCUAGUCAUCUUGAUUGUCGUUUUUUUAGUUUUUUGAUCUAUGCUUGAUCGAUUUGUGUCGCCCACCGCCGCCAUCGUCCCCAGUGCGCCUCUACUCCAACACCGACACGAUCGAUAGGCUUCUUCACCGAUACGGCGGCCUCGCGCGACAGGCGGUCCCUCACGGCCGUCGUCCACUCGCCGGCCCGCUCGUCGAUCUAUGCAGUCCGUCACCGCCCUCUUCGGGCGGGACACCUGCAUCGGCCCGACCCGGCGACCUCGCGCCAUGCGGCGGUUCAUCAUAGUCGUCGUACGCAUGCUGGCCCGCCCAUUGAUCCAUGCCACCCGCCUCCACCGCGUCUGCACCGCGGCCCAGCGGUCUACCUCGCCGGCCUCAUCCCCUCUUGCGUCGUGCCAGCUGCUUCAGGCUCGUCGGAUGCCUCAUCUCGGGCGCCGCUGCUACGUUGGUCGCUCAGGCCUCGCUACCCGGGCGCCGGCGCUACUUUGGCAGCCCGGGUGCUGGUGCUGACGCGCUCGUCCACACAACAUCUUAUGUAGUCCGUCAUCGCCGGCUUCAUCUCGGACUCCGCCGCCACCUUGCCUCCACCGAGCAGCGUCCCCGACCUCGCGCGCGAUCGGCUUGAUCACCCACUCCCCUCCGCGAUCCGCCUCAUUUAUGCCCCGCGACCGACCUGGUCCGUCGAUUGCGCGCGCCUCCGCAGGUCCCGUAAAGAUCGUCCAUGAGUACAACGCGCCCCUCCACCGAUCGAGCAUCGGGCUGCCGUUGUGUCGCCUCGUCGGGCCGCAGCGUCGCCGCCCCGUUGUUCUCCCCGUGGUUGCACCGACUAGCGCGUCGUCGCCACGUCGCCCCUUCGGGCGAUAGUUCCGCGAUACGAGCUCCCCACCACGGCCCCGCUGCGGUCCUCGCGGCUGCACCGACCCGGGCUCCUUCGCUGCGUCGCCCCUUCGGGUCGUAGCGCCACGGCAUGCGGUUCACUCCGCGUCCCUACGCGUUGACUACUACGUGGUAUGUGCAGCAUCGCCUCCCUUGGCGCGAGAAUGCCACCGUCUGCGUCGGUCUUCGUCAUGCUGUCGGGUUCCUCGCCUACUUUGAGCAUCGCUGCCGUGCUCCUAAUCUAGCCGCCGCCGCUCUUCUUCGGCCGCCACCACUCUUCUUCGUCUGCCACCGCUACCCCCGUAGCCGCCGGCCGUCCACCUCCUUCGUCUUUAUCUAGCACCAAUCCGUCGCCAGCAUCGCCGUCAUCUUCCUCGACCAUCGUUGGUGACAUCGGCCCCAUGCCGAUUGGCGUCACAACCGUCGUCAAGUCUUUCUCUGCUGACCUCUCCGACUUCUCCAACAUGGCGUACAACUCGUGCAGGUCUCAGUCCACGCAUGCCCGGUGCUGGCAACACUGAUCCGUGGCUUCGUCCACGACGUGUCCCCGGGCCUAGCAAGCCUAGUGCGGCGCUUCGUCAACUUCGUCUUCGUCUGUCUACGCAUGCCCGAUGCUGACAACACCGAUGCGUGCUUUCGUCCAUGAUGUGUCCCCAGGCUUGGCAAACCCGGCGCGACGCGUCGUCAACAAUAUCUUUUUCCUGGCGCACCACUACUUCGACAUCACUGCACCCAUGACUAAAUCGGCGCCUCCUUGCGCCCGCGGCUCCUCGGCGACUUCCUCGACACUGGCUACCCCGACUCGACAUCGACCACGACGUUCUUCCCACGGCUACCUCGACCACGGCUACACCACCUUACACUAUCGUCUACAUCGACAAACGGCACAAAGGGCUACCGCCUUGCUUGAGCAACCUUGUAAUUGGUUUCCACUCCAGCCACGACCAACGCGAUGCAUCGAUCGUUACGACUGUGGGGGUGUUCGCUGGUUUGCCUUCGGAUUCUUCUCCAGUCUCACCGUCUGCGUCGCUAGCGGUAGUGACUGCGGGGGAUGUUGGGUAUAUUAAUUCAUUAGGAAACAUAAAAUAAACUAGAAUUGUCCUGACUUGUCUUGUACUCCAAAUAAAUCAUGUACUCAUAUAUNNNNNNNNNNNNNNNNNNNNNNNNNNNNNNNNNNNNNNNNNNNNNNNNNNNNNNNNNNNNNNNNNNNNNNNNNNNNNNNNNNNNNNNNNNNNNNNNNNNNNNNNNNNNNNNNNNNNNNNNNNNNNNNNNNNNNNNNNNNNNNNNNNNNNNNNUAUAUAUAUAUAUAUAUAUAUAUAUAUAUAUAUAUAUAUAUAUAUAUAUAUAUAUAUAUAUAUAUAUAUAUAUAUAUAUAUAUAUAUAUAUAUAUGCCCACAAGGCUCAAGCAAUACAUCAAACUAUUCCACCAAUCUCUCUCUUCCUUCUAACACUCGGGGUGGUCGGCUUCCAUGACCGCCGCCAGGGGCCACACUGCCCGUACCUAGGGUCCNNNNNNNNNNACAAGGCUCAAGCAAUACAACAACUAUUUCAUCAAACCCUCUCUAUCCCUUCUAACAAGGAAGAAGAAAAUUGAACCUGUCACACGAUAACGUCUCCGAUAUCCCACCACAACCUCUGUGACCAUGGACCAUAAUCCAUCAGUCAAGUGAUAUGCGACCUUGAUGUCAGAAAAAGAAAGUGAUGCGUGACCUAACUACGUGCGGAAGAAUCCAAUGCAACAACUUCAUGAAGAAAUCACGCUCGCACGCUCUGACAGUAAGUCAAACUUAGAAUUGUCGCCUUUGAAAUUGAACUUCAAGCCAACACUUUCAACAAGAAUUUGUGCGAAUAUCAGCUCUGUCUGAUCUAGUCAUAAGACUAAAUCAUUGAUUUUCACCCAGAUAAAAUACAAUAUCAAUGACAACUGUCAAUGUCUCCUUCCAAUUUUUUAUCGGCAUGUUCGUACAGAACAAGCAUAUGUGUUCGCGCCGAAGCAAAAAUUCAUCAGACUAGCCACAAUGGGUAGUAACAUACACUAGUAACAUACACAUGUCCCUAGACUAUGUUACUACCUUUAUAGUGGGUAGUAAGGCUGGUCACAAUGGGGAGGAACUUAGGAGUAACAUCACACACUCCAAUACAACUUUGCUUAUGUGGCACAUAUUUAAUGAAGAGAGAGGUGCUUGUGGUAACUAGCUAAGUUACCGGAACAUCACACACUCCAAGAAACAAUGAGUCUAUAACCUAAUAAAUACAUCUUUGCAUGACACUACAUAGAUGUUCCUACCAACUAUGGAGGUAGUAACAUAGUCUAGGAAAGUGUGUAAGUUACUAGCUUAUGUUCUUGCCCAUUGUGACCAGCCUAAUAUAAGUGUGGUAACAUGGAAAGCUUCAUUUAUUAGGUUAUAGACUCAUAUUUCAUUGGGACAUGUGAUGUUAUACUAGUAACUAGUUAAGUUACUAUAACUAUCUCUCUCCUCAUUAACUCACUGUCACAUAAGCAAAUUUGCUAAGUUGGACUUGAUGUUAUCGCUAAAGUUACUCCCACUGUGGCUAGUCUCAGAAGAGAAGACGUUGUAACGCCGUUCCAGUUUCUGCCACACCAUCCUCUCAUCGUGACCUUUUUUUUCUUUUUUGCGGGUUCUCAUCCUUGGUUGUUGUGCACACCACAACAACAUCUAGGGGCUUUAACACCAGAGGAGCAGUCAGCCAUGGCGUCCGCUUCACGCUUCGCAUCGUGGCUGCGCAUCGAAAAAGGGAGGCCGUGCCACCGGCCCACCGCCGAGCUGUGAGGGAACAAGCCAAGGAAGGUUGAAAUAGGUCGCCGGCCUAUUCGCGCCGCAUGAGUCGCAUGUUAGAUUAAAAUGUGUGAAUAAACACACUAAAAGAUUGUUAUGUACCGCAGAUUUAAAAUUACCAACAAUGGACGCAUGGUGGCCGGUGACUUUUCGGAGGAUUUGCCACAACCCGGUCUUUGUCAAGCGUGGGAUGUCAUGUCACAGGGACGACCGUCACGUGUGCAUUAGGAGCAUCUACAACCGGAAAUGUCAAAAUGGCCCCUUAAACGCCCGCAGACACGCUCGGGCGCGUCCACAGAAAGUGAUCGAGCAUGCCUCAAAUUUUAUUUGUUGCAUACGGACAUCUCAUACUAGAUUCUUAAAUUCAUACAAAGACAUGCAAACGAAAUAAGUCUAUGUACUAUGUCGAUCACCUAGCUACUCAUCGUCGGAGCUGUCAAUGAUCUCCGUGCUCGGCUCCGGCAGCAUUGGUGGCAACUGCAGCUCUGACUCCUCCCGCGCCUCCGGCUGCUCCGCUUCGGCCUCCUCCGCCUUUAUCUCCGCGUCGAGUUCGGCGAGAAGCAUGUCGGACACCGCCUGCUUCUGCCGGAGGAACGCCCGGUUGGCCUCCACAUAGGCCUCAUCCUGGAUGGCCUGCUGCUCCGCCAUCUCGUCGGACUGGGCGACGGCGAACUCCGCGUCCGCCUGUUCCAUGUUGAAGGCCGGCAGCUGCUGCUCCGGCUGUUCCGCCUCCUCCGUCUCCAUCAGAGCCAACUCCUCCUCCUCUUCCCCUGCCUGCUCCUCCUCCUUUUCCGGCUCCGACGAGUCCGGAGGCAGCCCGACAACGAUGCGGGCUGCGCGCGCUGCUUGUCUCGCCCAAAUCUCUUGCUGGAUGUCAGUGCGGCGCUUCGGUGUGAGCAUUUGCAUAGUAGGUGAUGUUCGUCCGGACCAUGGUGGACCGCCAGAGCGUGGGCAGAGCGCCUGAGAGGGAGAGAGAAUUGUGGAUGGGCUCGGACUAGCGGCGGGGAGAGGGGGGAGGUAGAUGGACUUGUGUUGCGAGACUCUGGUCAUGUUAAAUAGGUGGAUUUGCUCUCGGGCGGCGUGCCGGAGCGGCGCCACGCGGCAUUCACACCGUGGCGACGGAGAAGGUGUCCGUCGGACCGCCGGGUUUCCGAGCGAGUCCGCGUGGGACAUCUUUGUCAGCCCUAUGUGCAGGGGCGGCGCUAGGGGUAUUCUUGGGUCUUCAUGUGAAUAUCCAUAAUUUUUAUAAAACAAUGUUGAUUUUGGCAAAAGAGUGACAAUUUUCAAAAAACAGCAAUGGUUUUGGCAAAAUGAAUACACAUGAAUACCCGGUUGCAAAUUUCUGAAGUUGCCACUGCAUAUGUGGCAGGUGUGCCCGGACGCUCCAAUAUCUGCCCCAUAUUUAAGCUGGAUAUGAUGGGUGCCGGUCAGUCCGAACGUUUGAGGUCCGAUAAAGGGUACCGUCUGAUCAGAAAAUCGUGAACGAUCAGUGACCAGACGGUCCAUCCGAACAUAUAAGGUGGGUUUUUAAGGCCCCGGCUGUAGAUGCUCUCUAAAAGUGGGCGAAGCCAGACCAGGGGAGCAAAACCACCGUGACCACCUCCCUCCCUUGGAUGAUUGGUGCUACCGCUACGGGGAAUCUGACGGAGGAUCUUUGCUAACCUACACAACACUCACCGACUGCCAACGUCGUCUGUCCGCAGCGUGCGCGAUCAACCAAGACCACGAGCGCGUGUCGUGUGAACGAGCGCCCGUACCACGGGGCUAGGGCACGCGUUCCUCGCGUGUAUGAGACCCAUGGCGUCGCUGUAGCGGGAAAGAAGUUUGAAAACGAGAUCACCUUUUAUGAACAAUCGGACGGGAGAAACAGUAUUCAGUCCAUUCACCUCCCUGUGUGUGUUCCUCUCCCCACGGCGACGUGUGGUGUGCUGGCUUCCGUGUACGUAGUUUUGCGUGAGAGGGACGAGAGCGGAGAGCGAGCGGCUCACCCCCGCAAACGCCUCUCCUCUCUUUGUUUUCCCCACGUGUGCGUAGUUUUGAUGUGUUGUCGGCACUCGGCAGGUUCAGUGAGCACCGACGCUGAUGUUCAAAGUACGGCAGAACACCGGGCAAAGCAUCACGUCCCCGAUUUGGAACGAGAUGCUGGUGGCGUGUCCAGUCUAGGGCCAUUCAAGUUACAGCUUUGUUUUUACUUUUGUGGGGGGCAAGUACGGCUCUCUGUCUUUUGUCCAUUUGUGUGUGGAGCAUAACUAAAUGGAAUGACUCACCGUCCUUCUUGGUUGCCACUCACACAGGUCGUCUAUUGGUCUUGAACCGGUUCACCUUCCUCAUCGUGACCUUCUUGAAAACAUGUGGUAGUGUGUGUUUUUGGCUGAUUGGGGAUGUGGCCUUUCCCCAUGUAAUAUUGGGGAUGUGGCGCUCCCGAUUCGAAAUAAGAUCCAUUUUAAAUAUAUUCUGGUGUUUUUUUUAAAUGUUAAGUUUAAAAUGUUGAAACCUAGUAUGAGCGACCGAUAAAAAUCAACUAUUUUGUAUCUAUGACCGACAGAAAAAAUUGCUUAAAAUCUCUGGAACUUCUUGAAACUUUGCAUUUUUAGAUGAAAGACCGUAAGUUUCAUCAUUGAAACUUAAAGCUUUUUGAGGGAUUUUUUUUACUGUGCCCUCGUGCGGGAUUCAACUACUUCAUGAAUCGCGAGACAAAUCAAGCGGGCACAGGGCUUGACAGGUGUGUGCCACCGCACUUGCGUGCCCCUGCGAAUUUCUGUGUAAUAUUGCUUUAGUUCGCCUUUUAGCACUAGACUUUUACUCUUUUGUUGUUAGCGGUACACGUGGUUUGCCUUGUUGUUGCACAAGGAUGAUUUAUUUUUCUUUUUUUGUUCCGUUACCUCUAUGAUAGUGGAACCCAGUCCAUUUUUAUUGGAUCGUAUGAAAAAAAACUUGUGAUCAUCGUGUUGUUUUUCUUAUUAUCCCUUUUCCUACUUUUCUGAGAAGACAUAAAGAUUUGUGUUUCGAUGCAUUGAUACAUAAAAUAAAGGGUAGUGCUCCCUUUGUUUUUAUAUACUCCAUAUAUUAGCUUCAGAGAAGUCGAUAUGAACAUUUAGAAUAACAAAUCAAUAGAUGUGAAAAUAUAUUCAAUGAUAAGUCUAAUGGUAUUAAUUCGGUGGUGCAUAUAUUAUUGUAUUUUUCCAUAAACUUGAUAAAAAUUUAUAAAGCUUGACUUCAGACAAACUUUAUAUGCAGAGUAAAUAAAAAUAGAGGUAGUACAUCACAAACCUAGACCGGCAAACACCCCAAGUACCACGUUGCACAACUUCACAAUGGAAACCGCUGGGAGGAUCUAGGCAAGACCCAUCGCCCCUUCCCUCGCCCGCAGUAGAGCCUUAAACUUGAUUGUGUCGAUCAGAACAUCGAUGCUAGGUCGCACGUUCUUGAAGAAUACAACAUUGCUAUGCUUUCAGAUCCAACAAAGGUGCUAGCAUGAUCGCCUAGGAGGUCCCCCCUUGUGCAUCGUGGGUGGGGUGAGCCAGGUGGUCCGCUAACACCAAUCUACCAAGUCCUCACUAGCAACCAGAGGCACAAUGGUGGAUCGAAUCCAAGAUAUGAACUCGCGCCAAGCCACCGGACAUGCGAGAAAGCGACCGGUGAGGAGGUGGGUCAUGCAUGAUCUCCUCCGAUUGGUCGCAAAAUAGGCACACACUUACGGCGGCCUUGCAGGCCUCUUGUAGCAAGACUCUCAGCAGUCCAACACCACUCUUGGCAAGAAAGCCAAAUUAAGAACUUCACACUUGAUGACACCCAAGAGCGUCGGUUCAACUUCCAAGAUCUUGAAACAACGCCCGUUGAGCAGCGGUUCUACCUUGGGAAUGGCUUCGCCAUUGAGCCACUGAUCCUCAGAGAAGAGGGUGUAUGUUCCGUUGCCAACUACCAUCAGCCAUCUUUAUUUGCCAUGGCACUUAAGAUUUGGUUGUAUGGAUGAUACUUUAUUUAUAAAGCGGGGCGAAAGCCUAUUUCGAGAGGCAAGUGUUGACAAUGUGCUGCUCGAGAUAGCACAACAGAACAUCAGCAACACAUUUGUUUUCUUUUCAAAAAAGAGCGCUCCCCCUUCCAUAUUUUUUAAACCACGUAGAUUUGCUAGCUGGGUGCCUGGCUGUAACCGGGCUUUUGCCCCAUAGCAGGUGUUUUGAUAAUAAGCAUCCGUGUGGUGGGGUUCCGACGAUGCUUUGAACUCGCUCUCCCCUUCCCCGUCUCCUUUAAACUCUUGAUAGUUUGUAUUUUUCGUUAUUCAAUUAACAGAAAGGUGUUAUUUCCCGGUUCAAAAAUUAUAUUAAUAUUCAAAACCACAUUGUUUUUGAACACCAGUGGCACGUGCUCUGAACGACAACAACACCACGCGUCCCUGAUUUGGACCAUGAUCAGAAACGAGGCAGGCAAGCUCGGACAAGGAGGAGGUGCCUGGUGGCAUGUCCUCUUCUGGCACUUGGACAUGCCGGUGCAACCGGCGUCCAAAGUGAAGUUGUUUGCGCCGCUGUCCGCAUUUCUCCGGACGAGACUUGCCUGAGCUCCACGCAUGUGCCCAUCCGUACCCCCGCCUACGUGGCUUCAUUUGACUGGAACAAAAUAAGACCCGGGCCCAUCCCAUUAAAAUCAGGGGGAAAUGAUUAGAUUGGAAAGGAAAAAAAAAAAGACAGCCGUAGGAUGAAAUGGGAGCAUAGAUGGAAGCAUGGGAAGGGAGCAGGCAAGCCGGAUGGCCCGGAUCCUAUUUCUCCGCCUUCGUUUUUUCAAAUGCCAAGUGGGACGGGACAGAGAUCAGGUGAUGCACGUUUGCAUGUCACCGUGUGCCCUGCGGCCUCCAUUCAAAUUUAAACAUUGCAAAUAAAUCUGAAAAAAAUCAUGCAUGUUCGCAGCACAUAUUAAGAUAACUCCUAAAAAAUACAGAUCAAAAUUCAAAAAAUACAUCGAGAAACAAAGAAGAGAAACUCAGAUGUGAACUGUCGUGGGGGAGAAGCCAGAUGGUCGAGCAGUGACCGGUGGUGAUUAGGACAUGUGCUUGCUUCACGUGUGUGGUGCGUGUGAUUACACGGCGUAAAAAUACGGUUGCCUCCUGCGUGCAGGUGCAGAUCCGGCGGGAGUGACAGUUACAGUGUCCUCCCACAGUGCCACUGUUUCCCCUGCCUCCUCCGUGGCGACGUAUGCGGUCUGCUGGCCUUGUAAUUUUGGCGGGCAAUGAUUCACAGCCUUGGCGCCCGGCGACGAGGCAGCCAGUGUGCGUGUGAAGAGUGAGCGAGCCAAGCGUCCUCUCGAGUGUGGACUGUCGACUCGCUCACCCACAUGGCGAGGGAAUCGCCCGAGGGUCUUCGGAGCAAGUAGGAACUAAUUUGUCCUCUGCGUCCAUCGUCUCGCUUUCGAGCCCAUCAAUUCCCCGCUCGUCGCACUUGUCGUCCUCGUCCUGCAUCAUUCAUGGCGACGGGCUCCCACCUCUUCCCUACCCGUACCGACGGUGCCACCGCCCCCUCGCUUGUCUCUUCUGCGCCCGCUGCAUAGCGCAUCCUACUACUAAUACUUGCCAAGAAGACGGUGCAUCCGCGCCAAGAAGAAGAAGGUCGAACGAGGAGGGGCGGAGAGAGCCAUGUCCGCCUCCGGCGCGGUGCCCGGGGCUGCUGCCGGCGCGGUGGCGGUGCCCACGGGGGAGUGCUACUUCUGCGCCGGCGCGCCGGCGGUGGUGUACUGCCGAGCGGACGCCGCGGGGCUCUGCCUGCCGUGCGACCGCCACGUCCACGGCGCCAACACGGUCUCCUGCCGCCACGCCCGGGCCCCGCUCUGCGCCGUCUGCCGCGCUGCCGCGGCCACCGUCCGCCGCGGCGCUGCCCGGUUCCUCUGCUCUAACUGCGACUUCGAGGAGCAGCAGCACGGAGAGGGGGAGCUGACGGAGCCGCCGCCGCUGCUGCACGACCGUGGCACGGUGGAGGGCUACACCGGGUGCCCCUCGGUAGGCGAGCUAGCGGCGAUCCUCGGUGUCUUCCUCGGCGACAAAGCGGCUGAGGCGUGGUGGCCUCUUUGGGAGGAGCCCCAGGUGCUCAGCUUCGACGACGUCGUCGUGCCGACCACCGCCUGCCAUGGCCUCCAGCCCCUCCUCAUCUCCUCUCCCAAGGUUGGUUGCUGACUUGCUGGCACCCUAGCAGCAGCAAACAGUAUCACGCAGAUACUGUUCACCGUCCGGCAAAGCGAAAACGGAAUAGAAAGCACGUUCUCUGAUGGUUUUUCCACAUAUGGUGUGUGUGUGUGUGUGUGUGCAAGAACCGGAGCCCGCCCUGCGGGGAGCUGGACGGCGAGGUUCUCCGGCAGCUCGGGGAACUCGCCAAGUCGGAGGAGGCGGCAGCUUAUGUCGAGGACCCGGAGCCGGCCGGCGUUGAUCAGCUGCCUCUAUGGGGAUCUUCAGAUUGCGCUGCUAUUGGGCACGGUGAUCUUGGGACUCCUGGAGGCGAGGCCAUCUGCGCGGCAGCAAUCCUGCAUGUACCUCCGUAUCAGGUUGGGAACUUAAUUUGAAUUGAAUUUUUACGCUGAAUUCUCUCUUGCUGACUAUCAUACGUGCUGUGUUCGUUGGAGCACUAUCGAAUGCACAUGAUGCAGUAAAAAUGUGCGCAGUAUAUAUGAGCAGGGCAUUAGUAGAAUAGUACUCUCUCUGUAAACAAAUAUAAGAGUGUUUAGAUCACUACGAAGGAAGUACUAUUUUUUGCAGGGCAUUAGUAGAGUACUAGUGCAACCCUCCAACGUAACAUCUCCAUUUCUGUCCAAGUUGCCGACCACAACCUUUCAUCUAGUGAAUGAAAACGUUCCCAACUUGUACACCAUCACAUAAAAGGCAUCAGAUCGACAAUGACAGGAGUAGCUAAGGAGGAUCUUUUCGGUUGCAACCGGCUAGUAUACUCCUGUAGUGUCUUAGAGCCAUCAUUAUGAUCUUGGCAUAUUUGAUAGUGUCACUAAUAGGAUCUUAAUUUCUUCGGUCCGCCAGCCAAAAUCCCUAUCAGUACAAAGCCAAGAAUGCGUGACAACCAGCUCAUGUUUCAGUACCAUGCAUUGCAGGUUUCAGUACAGCAACAGUAGAAAAUUUGCCAGACAUAUGAAUGUAUAUAUGAUGAUUCUGGUCUUAUCACACAGCAGCAGCUGCAGGAGGCGUGGAUCGCGACGAGUUGCAACGAACUUCCCGAGCAAGUCUCGGCGAGCUCGUCGGCCGAGCCGAGCCUGUCGUCGUUCGUGGAGGUGUCGGAGGUCUGCCCCAGCCUGAGCCGCAGCGGCAGCAGCGCCGACGACGCCGCCAACGCCGGGCACGAUCACCCGUCGCCUGCAGCGGCACCUGUUGCGGCGACGCCGGCGCAAGCGCAAGCUGCAGCUCAGGCGACCAAGAAGGUCGGCGGCUACGACGUGGUCUACCCUGACCGCGGCAAGGUGAUCUCGCGCUACAAGGAGAAAAGGAAGAACAGGAUGUACGAGAGAUAUAAUCAGAGGCCAAUAUAUCCGGCAACAGCAGAGAUUUUCUUUAGCUCGUCGUGCUGACUGCCGGGUUUGAUUUGUUGCAGGUUCGGGAAGCAGAUCCGGUACGAGUCGCGCAAGGCCCGCGCCGACGGCAGGGUGAGGAUCAACGGCCGCUUCGCCAAGUCGAGCUAGCUAGUAGAUUUCGAGGACCGACGACGUACCCUUCUUGGUCUCCGUGGACUGGACGACGACGUUUCUGUACCCUACGAGUACGUAGCGUGGGUGCGAGGGAGCUAGGGGACGGCGUCGAUGCUGUGUGACUGUACNNNNNNNNNNNNNNNNNNNNNNNNNNNNNNNNNNNNNNNNNNNNNNNNNNNNNNNNNNNNNNNNNNNNNNNNNNNNNNNNNNNNNNNNNNNNNNNNNNNNNNNNNNNNNNNNNNNNNNNNNNNNNNNNNNNNNNNNNNNNNNNNNNNNNNNNNNNNNNNNNNNNNNNNNNNNNNNNNNNNNNNNNNNNNNNNNNNNNNNNNNNNNNNNNNNNNNNNNNNNNNNNNNNNNNNNNNNNNNNNNNNNNNNNNNNNNNNNNNNNNNNNNNNNNNNNNNNNNNNNNNNNNNNNNNNNNNNNNNNNNNNNNNNNNNNNNNNNNNNNNNNNNNNNNNNNNNNNNNNNNNNNNNNNNNNNNNNNNUUGUUACCCACGAAGUCACCAGACGUGCCUCGUGGUCGACGGGAAUUUCUCCUCCCACUGCAUGAACAUCGGCACAAAGAUUGUAAUAAAUUUAAGAAAAUGCGAGCACUGUGCCAAGUCUAGAACUUGAACCCUGGUGGACUGGUUCCACCACAAGAAACCUAACCAUCUGAGUUACGCUCGCUUCGCCACACGAUUACACUCUUGCGCACAUUGCUCGUCAGCGCAAAAGUAACCAGAUUGUUUGAAACAAACUAAUAAAGAAAAAUAAAAUUCAAAAUCGAAAACACAUAAAAAACUAAGGUAGAGUGGGGAGGGAUGGAUGUUCAUAUGGGCUACAUAGAACUUGUUGGGUCGCACAAGCUAAUGGGCCAACCUGUUAAGGAAUUGAUAGACCCAAAAUAGAGAGGUCAGUCAAAAAUUUCCAGUCCAAAACAAGACACAUCACACAGCAGAAAAAAGGGAGCACAAACCAUGAAGCAUCACCAACAGUCAGAAACAUCGACUGGCCCAAAUUCUAUUUUCAGGCAAGUUACAUCUAGCUAAAAGUGAUAACUUUAACCAUGGUAAAUCUUUUGUUUAGACCAUGGCAAAUUUAUUACUUUAAUCAUGGCAAACUUCCUUGUUUUUACACCUUCAUGUUUUUACACCACCAUGGAAUCUUUUUAUUAACCAUCAUUAUUUUUUUGUAAACUAUUUUUUGAAACAUAACAAAUUUUAUGAUACAACAUGGUAGUUUGGCAAACUUUUUUUUGAAACAAUGACAAAAAUUUUAGUUCAAGCAUAAUUUUGCCAAAGUUCUUCUAUGUAUGUAAAAUUUUUGGCACUUUUCUUGCAGUUUCAUAAUUGUUUUGAUCUAUUCGUACCGACACGGCUUUAAAACAUAAUUGCUAAGUUUUUCAAGUUCUGAUCCAUUUCUAACAUGACAACAGAAAAAAGGGAGUACAUGGUAAUUUAUGGAAAAAAGUUAUAUAUUCAAAAUUAUGUAGGCUUUUGGUACAAAUUCCAGUUUCAAGUUUUUUUAGGAGUCCGACAGAAACCUUGGGGCCUUUUAUUGUCCUUUUUCGGUUCUGGUGUAACGAUGACGUUAAGGAGAGGUGAGGCCUAUUCGAAAAGGCCUGCAGUUCAUGCUAGAGGAUCUUUCCUGUUGGCUGCACGAGAGCUCGCCAACCGGCGCCUGCAGGCAUUUCCAAUUGGGCCGGCCUGUUUGGUUUUUUUUUGUUGUCUCUGGAACACGCAAAAAGUGUGCGGCGAGGGGAAUCACGCGACCCCUUUGUUGCAAGCGCACGGCAAUAGCCACCAGGACACCCGCCCGCGAGUGAAAGUGUGGCUGGUUUUCCUCUUUUUUAUGUCGUUCUUCGGUUGAGUUUCUUUUUUUCUUUUUUUUCUCAUCUUUCUUUGUUUUCUUUAGUUUGUGUUUUUUUUAAUUUGAUGAACUUUUUCUAGAAUCGAUGAACUUAUUUUCAAAUUCGAUGAACUUUUUUCAGAAUCGAUGAACUUUUUCCAGAAUUGAUCAACUUAUUUUAAAUUGAAUGAACUUUCUUUUGAAAUUUGAUGAACUUUUUUAAAAUUCUAUGAACUUUUUUAAAAUUUGUGAACUUUUUUUCAAGUUUGUGAACUUUUUUCAAAAACUGGAUGAACUUUUUAAAAAAUGGAUGAACUUUUUUCAAUUUUGAUGAUUUUUUUUCAAUUUUAAUGAACUUUAAUUCAAGAUAUAAAGUAAAACGUACAAUGUUCAAGAAAUUCAAAAUCCAAGCUGUAAAAGUAAACCGUACAAGUUUUCUAUGCAAUAAAUAGCGCGGCCGCAAUGUUCUUAGAAAAUUCGCGACGCAUUCUGUCACUAGUGCUAAGUAGGCCUGUUGGUUGUCCUGACACAAGCACCACCGUAAGUGCGCUAGUUCGAUUCCUGUAACAGUCUACUUUUCCUGUUAAUUUUUUGCGCUAUUAGCGUCUGCGUAGCAUUUCCUGGGCCGGCCCACGAGAGACUGCCUGCGAGCGCCGGUUUACAUUGGCGGCGCUGAAGGCGCUGACUAGGGGUUCCCCGAGAGCUCCUCCCUAGCGCCUUAAGCGCCAGGAAGAGUAACUGACGCCCACACGCCACACCUUAUGGGUUGCCCCAACAAAAGGAGGCGAUCACUAGUUCAGAUAGUCGUUGGUUUUCUCGGUUUGUGGUCACAAUUGAAUCCUGACUUUCAAGAAAAUUAACUAAAAAAAGAA
This 16798-nucleotide long non-coding RNA is filed under the name Triticum aestivum (bread wheat). RNAcentral describes it as "long non-coding RNA (TAES_LNC021962)". Lineage: Eukaryota; Viridiplantae; Streptophyta; Magnoliopsida; Poales; Poaceae. The record is from RNAcentral.